Molecule: ribosomal RNA, 383 nt
Filed under: uncultured delta proteobacterium
Lineage: Bacteria; Deltaproteobacteria
Description: bacterial SSU rRNA
Rfam family: Bacterial small subunit ribosomal RNA
Source: RNAcentral
GAGUUUGAUCGUGGCUCAGGACGAACGCUGGCGGCGUGCUUAACACAUGCAAGUCGUACGAGAAAGUUCCCUUCGGGGGAUGAGUACAGUGGCGCACGGGUGAGUAACGCGUAAGUAAUCUGCCCCUUGGUCUGGCAUAACUCCGGGAAACCGGGGCUAAUAGCAGAUGAUAUCGUAAGAUCAAAGCCUUCGGGCGCCAAGGGAUGAGCUUGCGUCCCAUUAGCUAGUUGGCGGGGUAACAGCCCACCAAGGCGACGAUGGGUAGCUGGUCUGAGAGGAUGAUCAGCCACAUUGGGACUGAGACACGGCCCAGACUCCUACGGGAGGCAGCAGUGAGGAAUAUUGCGCAAUGGACGAAAGUCUGACGCAGCAACGCCGCGUGC